UGCUUAGACCUGAAGGGGCAAAUAGAAGCACCGAUCUGCAAGGAGAGGCUGUCCCGAUUUGUGGCCGAACAAAAGAACAAGACGAAUUGCAGAAGGAUGCCCGGGAGCGAAUUAGAGAGAUAAAGGUGAUCGUUGGAGGAUAUGCAGGGGGAGACAGAUUUGCUCGGCCAGAAAGCGCAUUCACGAAAGUUACAAACACAUGAGGUAUGUGUGGCAACUGGGCCUAGGAAGAUCCAAAAGAAAGAAGAAUCGGACAUCAUUUUCACAAACAACGAUGCUCCCCACGACGACCCCCUAGUGGUGACGCUCAUAAUAGCAAACUACAGGAUAAGAAGAUAGUAAUUGACAACGGAAGCUUGACAGACAUCCUCUUUACCAGCGCAUUUGAUAAGUUCAGCAUUGAAAAGAACCAAUUUCUGCCUGUUAGAUUGUCGUUGGUCAGAUUUUCCAGAUCCAGACAAGGUAUAGCUGGUUGGCUCACUCAAAUUA
This 489-nucleotide long non-coding RNA is filed under the name Actinidia chinensis (golden kiwifruit). Its description in RNAcentral is "long non-coding RNA (ACHI_LNC009143)". Lineage: Eukaryota; Viridiplantae; Streptophyta; Magnoliopsida; Ericales; Actinidiaceae. The record is from RNAcentral.